GCCGUCAUCGUCUAGCGGUUAGGACAUCGCCCUCUCAAGGCGGAGAUCACGGGUUCAAUUCCCGUUGGCGGCA
RNAcentral lists this transfer RNA (73 nucleotides) under Elusimicrobiota bacterium. Its description in RNAcentral is "tRNA-Glu". It matches the Rfam family "tRNA". Rfam says of the family: Transfer RNA (tRNA) molecules are approximately 80 nucleotides in length. Lineage: Bacteria; Pseudomonadati; Elusimicrobiota. The record is from RNAcentral.